Non-coding RNA from Phrynosoma platyrhinos (Desert horned lizard), 69 nucleotides. The record is from the annotation of a GenBank genome assembly. Lineage: Eukaryota; Metazoa; Chordata; Lepidosauria; Squamata; Phrynosomatidae.
GCUAGCAUGGUGUAAUGGAUUGAGUGCUGGACUCACUCCAGAGACCAGGGUUCAAAUCCCUGCUCAGCC